Molecule: ribosomal RNA, 484 nt
Filed under: uncultured bacterium
Lineage: Bacteria
Description: partial 16S ribosomal RNA
Rfam family: Bacterial small subunit ribosomal RNA
Source: RNAcentral
AUUGAACGCUGGCGGCAGGCCUAACACAUGCAAGUCGAGCGGAUGAAGGGAGCUUGCUCCUGGAUUCAGCGGCGGACGGGUGAGUAAUGCCUAGGAAUCUGCCUGGUAGUGGGGGAUAACGUCCGGAAACGGGCGCUAAUACCGCAUACGUCCUGCGGGAGCAAGUGGGGGAUCUUCGGACCUCACGCUAUCAGAUGAGCCUAGGUCGGAUUAGCUAGUUGGUGGGGUAAAGGCCUACCAAGGCGACGAUCCGUAACUGGUCUGAGAGGAUGAUCAGUCACACUGGAACUGAGACACGGUCCAGACUCCUACGGGAGGCAGCAGUGGGGAAUAUUGGACAAUGGGCGAAAGCCUGAUCCAGCCAUGCCGCGUGUGUGAAGAAGGUCUUCGGAUUGUAAAGCACUUUAAGUUGGGGGGAAGGGCAGUAAGUUAAUACCUUGCUGUUUUGACGUUACCAACAGAAUAAGCACCGGCUAACUUCGUG